CCUACGGGUGGCAGCAGUGGGGAAUAUUGGGCAAUGGAGGCAACUCUGACCCAGCAAUGCCGCGUGAGUGAUGAAGGUAAUUUUAUUGUAAAGCUCUUUUCUUUGGAACGAAUAAAUGACGGUACCAAAGGAAUAAGCCCCGGCUAACUACGUGCCAGCAGCCGCGGUAAUACGUAGGGGGCAAGCGUUGUUCGGAAUGACUGGGCGUAAAGGGUGUGUAGGUGGUUUGAUAAGUUAGAUGUGUAAUACCCAGGGCUUAACUCGGGUGCUGCAUCUAAAACUGUUAGACUUGAGUACUGGAGAGGAUAGUGGAAUUCCUAGUGUAGCGGUGGAAUGCGUAGAUAUUAGGAGGAACAUCAGUGGCGAAGGCAGCAUACCGGCGCUCAACUGACGCUGAGGCACGAAAGCGUGGGGAUCGAACAGGAUUAGAUACCCCAGUAGUC
RNAcentral lists this ribosomal RNA (443 nucleotides) under uncultured bacterium. RNAcentral describes it as "partial 16S ribosomal RNA". It matches the Rfam family "Bacterial small subunit ribosomal RNA", at positions 338 to 795 of the family's 1533-position model. The record is from RNAcentral.